Molecule: non-coding RNA, 513 nt
Organism: Dermacentor albipictus
Lineage: Eukaryota; Metazoa; Arthropoda; Arachnida; Ixodida; Ixodidae
Source: RefSeq, a predicted model, not a curated record
UGCGCGGAAGCGCGAUGCAAUUAGGCAGUGCUCCAGAUCAAGUGGUCGCUCGGCUGCCAGCGUCAGGAUCCAGGAGAAGCCUACCUGGGGAGAUCGUGUCAAAGGGACGACGAAGAAGGAGCUACAGAGACCCACGGAGGAAUCCCUCAGCGGCGUCCCAGCGGCGGAUGAAAGAGAGCGAUAGCCAAGAAAGCGUGACGUGGAAGCGGUGGAGGACGGCAUCGGAAAAACAUGAGAAAGCGUGGUGAUGCGCACUACGGGCUCAUCGGUGACGACCGCUACGAGAUGGCGCCAGAGUUCCCCACCGUCGUCCGUUCAGCGUUGACGCCAGUGAUAAGAGUCUUAUUCGAUGACCGAGUAGAGUGGCACGCCGACAUGGGUGGUAUCGCUCAUUUGAGUGAUAAGCUUCCGCGAUGACGACGAGGGACCCGGUACGAAGUGUGGAGAAGUGUCCACUUUCAUCACUGCCAGGGCGGGCCCCAUGUGCCCUUUCUCUCCAGAACUGCAGCAGAU